CACUGUGAUGAAAAGCAGAGGAGGCUGCACCAGACUGACCAGAGAACGUUGUAGCAAAAGACCUCCCAGCACCAUCUGGAU
Molecule: small nucleolar RNA, 81 nt
Organism: Lupinus angustifolius (narrow-leaved blue lupine)
Lineage: Eukaryota; Viridiplantae; Streptophyta; Magnoliopsida; Fabales; Fabaceae
Source: Rfam